AGCCAUGAUCAAUUUGAAUGGAAAAAGAAAAAAAUAUUUUUUUCACAAUAUGUGCAAUGGCAUGGAAAGUAGAGCACACAACACAAGAAUUCCUCUCAAUCAUAGCUAAAUUUUUCACAAUCUAUAGAUCCCUCGUGUACAAAUAUUGCAAGUGUAGCCACUAGUCCCUGACGGUGACAACUCGGCAGCAGACAUGUCUCAUAGUACAAGCAAUAAUAUUGCUAUACUAUGCAAGUAGAAUUUUAUAUGGAACUAAACUUUAUGGUAAU
This 269-nucleotide long non-coding RNA is filed under the name Sorghum bicolor (sorghum). Its description in RNAcentral is "long non-coding RNA (SBIC_LNC004361)". The record is from RNAcentral. Lineage: Eukaryota; Viridiplantae; Streptophyta; Magnoliopsida; Poales; Poaceae.